GACGAACGCUGGCGGCGUGCUUAACACAUGCAAGUCGAACGGAAAGGCCCUGCUUUUGUGGGGUGCUCGAGUGGCGAACGGGUGAGUAACACGUGAGUAACCUGCCCUUGACUUUGGGAUAACUUCAGGAAACUGGGGCUAAUACCGGAUAGGAGCUCCUGCUGCAUGGUGGGGGUUGGAAAGUUUCGGCGGUUGGGGAUGGACUCGCGGCUUAUCAGCUUGUUGGUGGGGUAGUGGCUUACCAAGGCUUUGACGGGUAGCCGGCCUGAGAGGGUGACCGGCCACAAUGGGACUGAGAUACGGCCCAGACUCCUACGGGAGGCAGCAGUGGAGAAUAUUGCACAAUGGGCGGAAGCCUGAUGCGGCAGCGCCGCGUGCGGGAUGACGGCCUUCGGGUUGUAAACCGCUUUCGCCUGUGACGAAGCGUGAGUGACGGUAAUGGGUAAAGAAGCACCGGCUAACUACGUG
RNAcentral lists this ribosomal RNA (468 nucleotides) under uncultured bacterium. RNAcentral describes it as "partial 16S ribosomal RNA". It matches the Rfam family "Bacterial small subunit ribosomal RNA", at positions 28 to 507 of the family's 1533-position model. The record is from RNAcentral.